Molecule: microRNA precursor, 187 nt
Filed under: Oryza punctata
Lineage: Eukaryota; Viridiplantae; Streptophyta; Magnoliopsida; Poales; Poaceae
Description: MIR812 microRNA precursor family
Rfam family: MIR812 microRNA precursor family
Source: Rfam by way of RNAcentral
AAUAAAUGCAGUUUUGCACUGUUCAUAUUCAACGUCGUCUUAUUUGAAAAAUAUUUAUGAUUAAUAUUUUUUAUUAGAUGAUAAAAGUACUUUAUGAUCGUUCGUCUUGUUUUUAAUUUUUCAUAAAUUUUUUAAAUAAGAUGGACGUUUAAAACGUUGGACACGGAUAUCCAAGGCUAUGUUUAUU